AUGGUUCCUUACUCACUUCACCAACAAAACCCAACAAAAUUAUGCAAAUCAAGGGGUUCAAAUCUUCAGGUUCAUUUCAAGAGCACCCAAGUUAUCUAUAAAACUGCUCAAGACAUCUAGGCUCUGUAUAUAUGAGAAGCCACCAAAUAUCUGAAAGAUGUCCCUUUACAGAAGCAGUGUGCCAUUUCUAUCCUACAGUGGUAGAGCCACUGUACAAUGACAAUGUACAAUGCCAGAUGGGAGAGCUGGACACAGGUUUGCUGGCACAAAGAGAGCUGGAUUUUUUCCUGCACAUGCUUAAAAAUGCAGAGAAUAAUGCUGAUCUUCAAGGUUUAAAUAUAGACCGUCUAGGCAUUGAGUACAUUCAGAUGAACAAAAUCCCCAAGAUGUGACAUCUGAUAGUGCUCAUGGUUGAAUUAACCCAUGUAUGAGCUUUGCUUGCCACAUUACUGAAAAAGAACAAAUUGUUCUAAAACCAGAAGUGGAGAUUGCACAGAAGAAAAAGUUAUGCCAGAAGAAACUGAAGAAAAAAAACUUAUGGCAUAGGAACAA
This 552-nucleotide long non-coding RNA is filed under the name Homo sapiens (human). RNAcentral describes it as "non-protein coding lnc-POLR2B-11:1". The record is from RNAcentral. Lineage: Eukaryota; Metazoa; Chordata; Mammalia; Primates; Hominidae.